Molecule: long non-coding RNA, 488 nt
Organism: Engraulis encrasicolus (European anchovy)
Lineage: Eukaryota; Metazoa; Chordata; Actinopteri; Clupeiformes; Engraulidae
Exons: 5
Source: RefSeq, a predicted model, not a curated record
GCUGCCGUUAACUGCUCCGCUCCCUGACAGGAUUUUUCAUUCAUUCGUGCCAAUGAAACAGGAGGCCUCGAUUCGUGCAGAAGAUAAGGUUUGAAACCCAGACAGCACGAAGCAUCUUGCCGACGUCAAAAUCAGAUCAACAGACAGGGACAUCAGCCUUCUCUUGGGAAUAGGCCAGAUAUGCCAUAACAAGAAAUGGUGUUUUGCCCCUGCGGUUGUGAAGAGGAUGCUGUGGAGGUGGCAGCAUGAACGUGUCACACAGACAUUGGCUAAACUACUCGGCUUCUACACUUGACAACAAAUGUGCUCUACGAUGACAUUUCCAGCAUGUCCAACUCAUCAGCAUCAGGGGAGAUUCGGUGAAGGUGGUGCACCAUCCAGGACCAGUCAUGGGCCACCAACACCUCUGCAAAAUCUACACUUCUUGUGAACCCUGUAGAAGACACUACAACCACAAAACUGCUAAUAAACCAUCACAUACUGCAUCA